Molecule: ribosomal RNA, 210 nt
Filed under: Salmonella enterica subsp. enterica serovar Infantis
Lineage: Bacteria; Pseudomonadati; Pseudomonadota; Gammaproteobacteria; Enterobacterales; Enterobacteriaceae
Description: partial 23S ribosomal RNA
Rfam family: Bacterial large subunit ribosomal RNA
Source: RNAcentral
GGGUUGUGAGGUUAAGCGACUAAGCGUACACGGUGGAUGCCCUGGCAGUCAGAGGCGAUGAAGGACGUGCUAAUCUGCGAUAAGCGCCGGUAAGGUGAUAUGAACCGUUAUAACCGGCGAUUUCCGAAUGGGGAAACCCAGUGUGACUCGUCACACUAUCAUUAACUGAAUCCAUAGGUUAAUGAGGCGAACCGGGGGAACUGAAACAUC